AGAAUGAACGUUGGCGGCGUGGAUUAGGCAUGCAAGUCGAACGGGCCGCGAGGCCAGUGGCGCAAGGGUGAGUAAGGCGACGGUAACCAACCCCACGACCGGGUAUAGCCGCGGGAAACCGCGGGGUAAUCCCCCGGCGACGCCCGGGGGGGGCAUCCCCCCGGGCCCAAAGCUCCGGCGUCGUGGGACGGGCCGUCGUGGUAUUAGGUCGUUGGCGGGGUGACGGCCCACCAAGCCUGCGAUGCCUACCGGGCGUGCGAGCGUGGCCCGGCACACUGGGACUGAGACACUGCCCAGACUCCUACGGGAGGCUGCAGUCGAGAAUCUUCGGCAAUGGGCGCAAGCCUGACCGAGCGACGCCGCGUGGAGGACGAAGGCCCUCGGGUUGUAAACUCCUGUCGAGGGGGAAGAGGCGCCGCGAGGCGCUUGACCGAUCCCUGGAGGAAGCACGGGCUAAGUUCGCGCCAGCAGCCGC
Molecule: ribosomal RNA, 475 nt
Filed under: uncultured bacterium
Lineage: Bacteria
Description: SSU rRNA
Rfam family: Bacterial small subunit ribosomal RNA
Source: RNAcentral